UGGGGAAUAUUGCACAAUGGGCGCAAGCCUGAUGCAGCCAUGCCGCGUGUAUGAAGAAGGCCUUCGGGUUGUAAAGUACUUUCAGCGGGGAGGAAGGGAGUAAAGUUAAUACCUUUGCUCAUUGACGUUACCCGCAGAAGAAGAACCGGCUAACUCGGUGCCAGCAGCCGCGGUAAUACGGAGGGUGCAAGCGUUAAUCGGAAUUACUGGGCGUAAAGCGCACGCAGGCGGUUUGUUAAGUCAGAUGUGAAAUCCCCGGGCUCAACCUGGGAACUGCAUCUGAUACUGGCAAGCUUGAGUCUCGUAGAGGGGGGUAGAAUUCCAGGUGUAGCGGUGAAAUGCGUAGAGAUCUGGAGGAAUACCGGUGGCGAAGGCGGCCCCCUGGACGAAGACUGACGCUCAGGUGCGAAAGCGUGGGGAGCAAACAGG
Molecule: ribosomal RNA, 429 nt
Filed under: Chloroflexota bacterium
Lineage: Bacteria; Bacillati; Chloroflexota
Description: Chloroflexi bacterium partial 16S ribosomal RNA
Rfam family: Bacterial small subunit ribosomal RNA
Source: RNAcentral